This 7012-nucleotide long non-coding RNA is filed under the name Brachypodium distachyon (stiff brome). RNAcentral's name for it is "long non-coding RNA (BDIS_LNC005589)". Lineage: Eukaryota; Viridiplantae; Streptophyta; Magnoliopsida; Poales; Poaceae. The record is from RNAcentral.
ACUUGAUCUCUAAACAAAAUUCGAUCUAUGAUGAAACACUUUCCAAAAGCACUCCUUAUUGGAUUCGGACUCGGAUUCGCGGCUGAAAACUAUAACUUGCCGACUCGGUGUAGGACUCGAAGAGGGACUCGGUGUAGGACUCGAUGAGGGACUCGGUGUAGGACUCCAAGAGGGACUCGGUGUAAGACUCGAAGAGGGACUCGGUGUAGGACUCGAUGAGGGACUCGGUGUAGGACUCAAAGAGGGACUCGGUGGAAGAUAUGGUGGCGGCGGAAGAUUAUGGCGGUGGUGUGGCAGGAAGUUUGGCGGCGGAAGAUUGAUGAAGGAAACCUGCGUCACACGAAGAACAAGAAAACCAAAAGCAAGUUCGAUCUAGUAGAAAAAAAUCUGAAAAACGAUCCAAUCUAAUCCAGCAACUCGACACGAUUAAUGCAGCAAAGAUUCAACAAUGCAAAUACUAAUGUGAAAAUUGCAAGGCUCAGAUUGGUUCUAGGACAAGGUAACUAAUUCUAAUUUUUGUUUGGCUUUUUCUGGACGAUAGGUAAAAGCAGAUCUAAACAACGGAUAAACUGGAAAAAUCUCACCGAGCAACCUUAAGCUCUGAUACCACGUGAUAUGGGUGCGGGUGGCCCGAUCUUUCGAUGAGAUUGGUAACUCUCGAUUUGGGUAGGAGGUGACGUUGACGAUCCGACUACGGCCUAGGAGGCAGCGCCUUAGCAAUCGAUACACCAACUCCAGAGGGUUAUUGAUCACGCGGGGGCACGAUCAACCUGACCACGAAGGUCUUUGUUCCUGCAAGCAAUCGAAGAACAAGCAAGAACAAGAUAAAUAGCCGAUGCAAUCUGAAAUUGCGAAUAUACUAUAUCAAACCAAUGUCUCAACGAGACGAUAAGUUGGGGUUCCGAAAGCGGUAAAACAGGUGGUCUAACCGACACACGCGAUUACACGAAGUAGUAGCGAUGGCUAACUUUUAACUAAACAAAACCCAAGGCUCCUUAGGGGGGCUCAUGGGGUAUAUAAAGGAGGAGGAAGAGAUAUUUUCGUCCACCUUGAAUAAGGAGUCCGAAAUCCAACUCUAUCUCUAACUUUCCUAACAAACUACAACUCUUUAGGAAACAGAAAAACAGAUCCGUCAGUUGUUUUGUCCGCCACGGUCAGCACGAGUCGAAUCUCUUGAUGGGGCCAGAUCCGUUGGAAAGGUCUUGUAAUUACCUUUCCAACAAGUACUUGUUUGCUUGAUUUGGACUCCGGAUGCGGCCUGGGUGAUUAAAACAAAUUCGGGUCUCCUGACGGCUCGGACCCGAAUCGGAUUCAACUUUAAUUCGUGAUACCUUUCUCUAGCAAGCUCCGAAUCAUGUGCCGUUUGAUUUGUUGGAAAGUAGACUUGAUAGGCUUCACUUUGAAUCUCCCUUGGCAGGCUAUCACACUUCAUCUUCACUUUGGACUUGUAAAGUUCAAUAAGAUGCCUACAUAAUAAGAUUACACAAGAUAGUAGCUCCGCCUCUUUGCAAGUAACAUAUUGAAAACAUUUUGUAAUUGAAUUCACCUGAUUAUAAUUGUUAUUAGAUACACCAACAAUUAGGGUUCUAAUGGUUGUAUCCAUGGUUAGCAUGUCCAUAUCAACACCAAACAAAGCUACUUACCGAAGCGAAACAAGACUAGACCACUUGUACGGACUCGCUAGGGAUGGUCCCACACUGGGACAAAAAUUCCGGCCAAAUCGUAGUCGGUGCUAAACUUUGAUCCGGAACGUGUCCAUUUUAGGUACAAGCAUGAGCACACCAAACAAAGCUACUUACCGAAGCGAAACAAGACUAGACCACUUGUACGGACUCGCUAGGGAUUGUCCCACACAGGGACAAAAAUUCCGGCCAAAUCGUAGUCGGUGCUAAACUUUGAUCCGGAACGUGUCCAUUUUAGGUACUAGCAUGAGCACACCAAACAAAGCUACUUACCGAAGCGAAACAAGACUAGACCACUUGUACGGACUCGCUAGGCAUGGUCCCUCACUAGGACGGACAAUCCGGCCAAAUCGGAGUCGGUAUUAAACUUAGAUACGAAACGGGUCCAUUUUAGGUACUAGCAUGGGCACACCAAACAAAGCUACUCAUCGAAGCGAAACAAGACUAGACCACAUGUACGGACUCGCUAGGGAUGGAUCCACACUGGGACAAAAAUUCCGGCCUAAUCGUAGUCGGUGCUAAACUUUGAUCCGGAACGUGUCCAUUUUAGAUACUAGCAUGAGCACACCAAACAAAGCUACUUACCGAAGCGAAACAAGACUAGACCACUUGUACGGACUCGCUAGGGAUGGUCCCACACAAGGACAGACUAUCCGGCCAAAUCGGAGUCGGUGCUGAACUUUGAUCCGGAACGUGUCCAUUUUAGGUACUAGCAUGAGCACACCAAACAAAGCUACUCAUCGAAGCGAAACAAGACUAGACCACUUGUACGGACUCCCUAGGGAUGGUCCCACACUAGGACAGACAAUCCGGCCAAAUCGGAGUCGGUGUUAAACUUUUAUCCGGAACGUGUCCAUUUUAGGUAUAGACUCGCUAGGCAUGGUCCGUCACUAGGACGGACAAUCCGGCCAAAUCGCAGUCGGUGCUAAACUUUGUUCCGGAAAGGGUCCGUUUGGCGUUAUAAGAUGAGCACACCAAACAAAGCUACUCAUCGAAGCGAAACUAGACUAGACCACUUGUACAGACUCGCUAGGCAUGGUCCCUCACUAGGACGGACAAUCCGGCCAAAUCGGAGUCGGUGCUAAACUUUGAUCCGGAACAUGUUCGUUUUAGAUACUAGCAUGAGCACACUAAACAAAGCUACUCAUCGAAUCGAAACAAGACUAGACAACUUGUACAGACUUGCUAGCCAUGGUCCCUCACUAGGACGGACAAUCCGGCCAAAUCGCAGUCGGUGCUAAACUUUGAUCCGGAAAGGGUCCGUUUGGCGUUAUAAGAUGAGCACACCAAAAGAAGCUACUCAUCAAAGCGAAACAAUAGUAGCCCACUUGCAUAGACUCGCUAGGCAUGGUCCCUCACUAGGACGGACAAUCCGGCCAAAUCGCAGUCGGUGCUAAACUUUGAUCAGCACAGCAAACAAAGCUACUCAUUGAAGCGAAACAAGACUAGACCACUUUAACGGACUCGCUAGGGAUGGACCCACACUAGGACGGACAAUCCGGCCAAAUCGGAGUCUGUGCUAAACUUUGAUCCGGAACGUUUCCAUUUUAGGUACUAGCAUGAGCACACCAAACAAAGCUACUCAUCGAAGCGAAACAAGACUAGACCACUUGUCCAGACUCGCUCGGCAUGGUCCCUCACUAGGACGGACAAUCCGGCCAAAUCGCAGUUGGUGCUAAACUUUGAUCCGAAAAGGGUCCGUUCGGCGUUAUAAGAUGAGCACACCAAACAAAGCUACUCAUUGAAGCGAAACAAGACUAGACCACUUGUACAGACUCGCUAGGAAUGGUCCCUCACUAGGACGGACAAUCCGGCCAAAUCGCAGCCGGUGCUGAACUUUGAUCCGGAAAGGGUCCGUUUUGUGUUAUAAGAUGAGCACACCAAAGAAAGCUACUCACCGAAGCGAAACAACACUAGACCACUUGUCCAGACUCGCUCCGCAUGGUCCCUCACUAGGACGGACAAUCCGGCCAAAUCGCAGUCCGUGCUAAACUUUGAUCCGGAAAUGGUCCGUUUUGCGUUAUAAGAUGAGGACACCAAACAAAGCUACUCAUCGAAGCCAAACAAGACUAGACCACUUGAACGGACUCGCUAGGGAUGGUCCCACACUAGGACGGACAAUCGGGACAAAUCGGAGUCGGUGCUAAACUUUGAUCCGGAACGUGUCCAUUUUAUGUACUAGCAUGAGCACACCAAACAAAGCUACUUACCGAAGCGAAACAAGACUAGACCACUUGUACGGACUCGCUAGGGAUGGUCCCACACUGGGACAAAAAUUCCGGCCAAAUCGUUGUCGGUGCUAAACUUUGAUCCGGAACGUGUCCAUUUUAGGUACAAGCAUGAGCACACCAAACAAAGCUACUUACCGAAGCGAAACAAGACUAGAGCACUUGUCGGACUCGAUAGGCAUGGUCCCUCACUAGGACGGACAAUCCGGCCAAACUAGAGUCGGUGCUAAACUUUGAUAAGGAACGGGUCCGUUUGGCGUUAUAAGAUGAGCACACCAAACAAAGCUACUCAUCGAAGCAAAACAAGACUAGACCCGUUUAACGGACUCGCUAGGGAUGGACCCAGACUAGGACGGACAAUCCGGCCAAAUCUGAGUCGGUGCUAAACUUUGAUCCGGAACGUGUCCAUUUUAGCAACUAGCAUGAGCACACCAAACAAAGCAACUCAUCGAAGCAAAACAAGACUAGACCACUUGUCCAGACUCGCUCGGCAUGGUCCCUCACUAGGAUGGACAAUCCGGCCAAAUCGCAGUCGGUGCUAAACUUUGAUCCGAAAAGGGUCCGUUUGACGUUAUAAGAUGAGCACACCAAACAAAGCUACUCAUCGAAGCAAAACAAGACUAGACCACUUCUAUAGUCUCGCUAGGCAUGGUCCCUCACUAGGACGGACAAUCCGGCCAAAUCGCAGUCGGUGCUAAACUUUGAUCCGGAAAGGGUCCGUUUUGCGUUAUAAGAUGAGCACACCAAACAAAGCUACUCAUCGAAGCAAAACAAGGCUAGACCACUUGAACGGACUCGCUAGGGAUGGUCCCACACUAGGACGGACAAUCUGGCCAAAUCGGAGUCGGUGCUAAACUUUGAUCCGGAACGUGUCCAUUUUAGCAACUGGCUUGAGCACACCAAACAAAUUAGACCACUUGUAGAGACUCGAUAGGCAUGGUCCCUCACUAGGACGGACAAUCCGGCCAAACUAGAGUCGGUGCUAAACUUUGAUAAGGAACGGGUCCGUUUGGCGUUAUAAGAUUAGCACACCAAACAAAGCUACUCAUCGAAGCAAAACUAGACUAGACCCGUUUAACGGACUCGCUAGGGAUGGACCCAGACUAGGACGGACAAUCCGGCCAAAUCUGAGUCGGUGCUAAACUUUGAUCCGGAACGUGUCCAUUUUAGCAACUAGCAUAAGCACACCAAACAAAGCAACUCAUCGAAGCGAAACAAGACUAGACCACUUGUCCAGACUCGCUCGGCAUGGUCCCUCACUAGGACGGACAAUCCGGCCAAAUCGCAGUCGGUGCUAAACUUUGAUCCGAAAAGGGUCCGUUUGACGUUAUAAGAUGAGCACACCAAACAAAGCUACUCAUCGAAGCGAAACAAGACUAGACCACUUCUAUAGUCUCGCUAGGCAUGGUCCCUCACUAGGACGGACAAUCCGGCCAAAUCGCAGUCGGUGCUAAACUUUGAUCUGAAAAGUGUCCGUUUUGCGUUAUAAGAUGAGCACACCAAACAAAGCUACUCAUCGAAGCAAAACAAGACUAGACCACUUGAACGGACUCGCUAGGGAUGGUCCCACACUAGGACGGACAAUCUGGCCAAAUCGGAGUCGGUGCUAAACUUUGAUCCGGAACGUGUCCAUUUUAGCAACUGGCUUGAGCACACCAAACAAAUUAGACCACUUGUAGAGACUCGCUAGGCAUGGUCCCUCACUAGGAGGGACAAUCCGGCCAAAUCGGAGUCGGUGCUAAACUUUGAUCCGGAACGUGUCCAUUUUAGCAACUGGCUUGAGCACACCAAACAAAUUAGACCACUUGUAGAGACUCGCUAGGCAUGGUCCCUCACUAGGACGGACAAUCCGGCCAAAUCGGAGUCGGUGUUAAACUUUCAUACGGAACGGGUCCGUUUGGCAUUAUACGAUGAGCACACAAAACAAAGCUACACAUCGAAGCGAAACAAGACUAGACGACAUGUACAGACUCGCUAGGCAUGAUCCCUCACUAGGACGGACAAUCCGGCCAAAUCGGAGUCGGUGCUAAACUUUGAUCCGGAACGUGUCCGUUUUAGCUACUAGCAUGAGCGCAGUAAACAAAGCUACUCAUCGAAGCGAAACAAGAGUAGACAACUUGUACGGACUUUCUCUUUUUUUUUCUUUUUUUUUCUUCUUUCUUUCUUUUUUUUCUUUCCUUUCUUUUUUUUUUUCAACUUUCCAAACAACUUGAUCUCUAAACAAAAUUCGAUCUAUGAUGAAACACUUUCCAAAAGCACUCCUUAUUGGACUCGGACUCGAACUCGCGGCUGAAAACUAUUACUUGCCGACUCGAUGUAGAACUCGAAGAGGGACUCGGUGUAGGACUCGAUGAGGGACUCGGUGUAGGACUCAAAGAGGGACUCGGUUUAGGACUCAAAGAGGGACUCGGUGUAGGACUCGAAGAGGGACUCGGUGGAAGAUAUGGUGGCGGCGGGAGAUUAUGGCGGUGGUGUGGCAGGAAGUUUGGCGGCGGAAGAUUGAUGAAGGAAACCUGCGUCACACGAAGAACAAGAAAACCAAAAGCAAGUUCGAUCUAGUAGAAAAAAAUCUGAAAAACGAUCCAAUCUAAUCCAGCAACUCGACACGAUUAAUGCAGCAAAGAUUCAACAAUGCAAAUACUAAAGCGAAAAUUGCAAGGCUCAGAUUGGUUCUAGGACAAGGUAACUAAUUCUAAUUUUUAUUUGACUUUUUCUGGACGAUAGGUAAAAACAGAUCUAAACUACGGAUAAACUGGAAAAAUGUCACCGAGCAACCUUAAGCUCUGAUACCACUUGAUAAGGGUGCGGGUGGCCCGAUCUUUCGAUGAGAUUGGUAACUCUCGAUUUGGGUAGGAGGUGACGUUGACGAUCCGACUACGGCCUAGCAGGCAGCGCCUUAGCAAUCGAUACACCAACUCCAAAGGGUUAUUGAUCACGCGGGGGCACGAUCAACCUGACCACGAAGGUCUUUGUUCCUGCAAGCAAUCGAAGAACAAGCAAGAACAAGAUAAAUAGCGGAUGCAAUCUAAAAUUGCGAAUAUACUAUAUCAAACCAAUGUCUCAACGAGACGAUAAGUUGGGGUUCCGAAAGCGGUAAAACAG